This 256-nucleotide long non-coding RNA is filed under the name Monodelphis domestica (gray short-tailed opossum). RNAcentral describes it as "lncRNA (ENSMODG00000040594.1)". Lineage: Eukaryota; Metazoa; Chordata; Mammalia; Didelphimorphia; Didelphidae. The record is from RNAcentral.
UGUUUUUGUUUUUGUUUUUUUUGAAAGCUGGUUGUUAAACCCCUGCCUAAUACACUUCAUACCCUCCUGAACAUCACCUUCAGAUGACUCUUACAGCCUGCCUCUUCCAUGCGUUCUCAUAUGCUGCUGAAUGAAUUUUGGGAGCAUCGUACAACCAUGCCAUCUGUGUCUACUACAAAUUGAUGUUAUCUCAUCUCAACUGGAUCCUUAUUGUAGGAAGAUGAGUAGAUCACAGCACAGAGAGGGAGGCAGGUAA